Geosiphon pyriformis is the source of this 73-nucleotide non-coding RNA. NCBI's taxonomy places the organism in Eukaryota, Fungi, Glomeromycota, Glomeromycetes, Archaeosporales, Geosiphonaceae. The record is from the annotation of a GenBank genome assembly.
GCCUUCUUAGCUCAGUUGGGAGAGCGUUAGACUGAAGAUCUAAAGGUCCUGUGUUCAAUCCACAGAGGGGGCA